UGGACAUGCAAGUCGAUCGGCAGCAUAGGUGCUUGCACUGAUGGCGAGUGGCGAACGGGUGAGUAACAUAUCGGAACAUGUCCGGAAGUGGGGGAUAACGUAGACAGAAAGUUACGCUAAUACCGCAUAUGCCCUGAGGGGGAAAGGGGGGGAUCGCAAGACCUCUCGCUUUCGGAGUGGCCGAUAUCGGAUUAGCUAGAUGGUGAGGUAAAGGCUCACCAUGGCGACGAUCCGUAGCUGGUCUGAGAGGACGACCAGCCACACUGGAACUGAGACACGGUCCAGACUCCUACGGGAGGCAGCAGUGGGGAAUUUUGGACAAUGGGCGCAAGCCUGAUCCAGCUAUACCGCGUGAGUGAAGAAGGCCUUCGGGUUGUAAAGACUCUUUCAGCCGGAAAGAAAUCGCACUGGUUAAUACCUUGUGUGGAUGACGGUACCGGAAGAAGAAGCACCGGCUAACUGCGUGCCAGCAGCCGCGGUAAUACGUAGGGUGCGAGCGUUAAUCGGAAUUACUGGGCGUAAAGCGUGCGCAGGCGGUUUUUUAAGCCAGAUGUGAAAUCCCCGGGCUCAACCUGGGAACUGCAUUUGGAACUGGAAGACUAGAGUGUAGCAGAGGGGGGUAGAAUUCCACGUGAUAGCAGUGAAAUGCGUAGAUAUGUGGAGGAAUACCAAUGGCGAAGGCAGCCCCCUGGGUUUAACACUGACGCUCAUGCACGAAAGCGUGGGGAGCAAACAGGAUUAGAUACCCUGGUAGUCCACGCCCUAAACGAUGUCAACUAGGUGUUGGGGGAAGGAGACUUCUUUAGUACCGCAGCUAACGCGUGAAGUUGACCGCCUGGGGAGUACGGUCGCAAGAUUAAAACUCAAAGGAAUUGACGGGGACCCGCACAAGCGGUGGAUUAUGUGGAUUAAUUCGAUGCAACGCGAAAAACCUUACCUACCCUUGACAUGUCAGAAAGGUCGCAGAGAUGUGAUUGUGCCCGAAAGGGAAUCUGAACACAGGUGCUGCAUGGCUGUCGUCAGCUCGUGUCGUGAGAUGUUGGGUUAAGUCCCGCAACGAGCGCAACCCUUGUCAUUAAUUGCCAUCAUUCAGUUGGGCACUUUAAUGAGACUGCCGGUGAUAAACCGGAGGAAGGUGGGGAUGACGUCAAGUCCUCAUGGCCCUUAUGGGUAGGGCUUCACACGUAAUACAAUGGUCGGUACAGAGGGUUGCCAACCCGCGAGGGGGAGCUAAUCUCAGAAAGCCGAUCGUAGUCCGGAUUGUUCUCUGCAACUCGAGAGCAUGAAGUCGGAAUCGCUAGUAAUCGCGGAUCAGCAUGUCGCGGUGAAUACGUUCCCGGAAUUGUACACACCGCCCGU
RNAcentral lists this ribosomal RNA (1359 nucleotides) under uncultured bacterium. RNAcentral's name for it is "bacterial SSU rRNA". It matches the Rfam family "Bacterial small subunit ribosomal RNA", at positions 50 to 1397 of the family's 1533-position model. The record is from RNAcentral.